This is a microRNA precursor of Danio rerio (zebrafish), 124 nucleotides long. Ensembl annotates it as microRNA let7a-5. Its record names the gene mirlet7a-5. Lineage: Eukaryota; Metazoa; Chordata; Actinopteri; Cypriniformes; Danionidae. The record is from Ensembl.
GUACGUGUUUUUGGUGUCUGGACAAGGUGAGGUAGUAGGUUGUAUAGUUUGGUGGGAGGGAUCAAACCCUGUUCAGCUGAUAACUAUACAGUCUAUUGCCUUCCUUGUGUCACCUAAGGUCUGC